GACGAACGCUGGCGGCGUGCCUAAUACAUGCAAGUAGAACGCACAGUUUAUACCGUAGCUUGCUCCACCACAGACUGUGAGUUGCGAACGGGUGAGUAACGCGUAGGUAACCUGCCUGGUAGCGGGGGAUAACUAUUGGAAACGAUAGCUAAUACCGCAUAAUAUUAAUUAUUGCAUGAUAAUUAAUUGAAAGGUGCAAUUGCACCACUACCAGAUGGACCUGCGUUGUAUUAGCUAGUAGGUGAGGUAACGGCUCACCUAGGCGACGAUACAUAGCCGACCUGAGAGGGUGAUCGGCCACACUGGGACUGAGACACGGCCCAGACUCCUACGGGAGGCAGCAGUAGGGAAUCUUCGGCAAUGGACGAAAGUCUGACCGAGCAACGCCGCGUGAGUGAAGAAGGUUUUCGGAUCGUAAAGCUCUGCUGUAAGAGAAGAACGGGUGUGAGAGUGGAAAGUUCACACUGUGACGGUAUCUUACCAGAAAGGGACGGCUAACUACGUG
Molecule: ribosomal RNA, 505 nt
Filed under: uncultured bacterium
Lineage: Bacteria
Description: partial 16S ribosomal RNA
Rfam family: Bacterial small subunit ribosomal RNA
Source: RNAcentral